Molecule: ribosomal RNA, 450 nt
Filed under: uncultured bacterium
Lineage: Bacteria
Description: bacterial SSU rRNA
Rfam family: Bacterial small subunit ribosomal RNA
Source: RNAcentral
GUUAGGAAUCUUGGGCAAUGGGCGAAAGCCUGACCCAGCCAUGCCGCGUGUGUGAAGAAGGCCUUCGGGUUGUAAAGCACUUUCAGUGGUGAAGAAAAGCUUGGGGCCAAUACCCCCGAGUUUUGACGUUAACCACAGAAGAAGCACCGGCUAACUCCGUGCCAGCAGCCGCGGUAAUACGGAGGGUGCAAACGUUAAUCGGAAUCACUGGGCGUAAAGCGCACGUAGGCGGUUCGUUAAGUGGGAUGUGAAAGCCCUGGGCUCAACCUGGGAAUUGCGUUCCAAACUGACGGACUAGAGUACGAUAGAGGGAGGUAGAAUUUCCUGUGUAGCGGUGAAAUGCGUAGAUAUAGGAAGGAAUACCUGUGGCGAAGGCGGCCUCCUGGAUCGAUACUGACGCUGAGGUGCGAAAGCGUGGGGAGCAAACAGGAUUAGAAACCCUGGUAGUCC